Molecule: ribosomal RNA, 674 nt
Filed under: uncultured Cyphobasidiales
Lineage: Eukaryota; Fungi; Basidiomycota; Cystobasidiomycetes; Cyphobasidiales
Description: eukaryotic LSU rRNA
Rfam family: 5.8S ribosomal RNA (bases 150-303)
Source: RNAcentral
AGGAUCAUUAANGAAAUACAAGGACGCUCUUUUUAGAGGUCCGACCUAAAUCAUUUUCCUUUACACUGUGCACAUACUAUUUUUUACACCAUUUUAACGCAUUAGUAUAAGAAUGUAAUCAGUCUCUUAAUUGAGCAUAAAACAAUCAAAACUUUCAGCAACGGAUCUCUUGGCUCCCACAUCGAUGAAGAACGCAGCGAAAUGCGAUACGUAAUGUGAAUUGCAGAAUUCAGUGAAUCAUCGAAUCUUUGAACGCACCUUGCACUCUUUGGUAUUCCGAAGAGUAUGUCUGUUUGAGUGUCAUGAAACUCUCAACCCCCUCAUUUUGUAAUGAAGUGAGCGUGGGCUUGGAUUAUGGUUGUUGCUGGCGUCAAGUCAGCUCAACUGAAAUAUACGAGCAACCCAGUUUGAAACAGACGGCUUGACUCGGCGUAAUAACUAUUUCGCUGAGGACGUCCAUUUCAAUAUAGUGGUGCUUCUAAUGCAUUAAUCAUUUAAGCUUUAGACCUCAAAUCAGUCAGGACUACCCGCUGAACUUUAAGCAUAUCNAUAAGCGGAGGAAAAGAAACUAACAAGGAUUCCCCUAGUAACGNCGAGUGAAGUGGGAAAAGCUUCAACUUUUGAAAUCUGNCNGCUUCGCUGUCCGAGUUGUANUCUCGAGAAGUGUUUUCCGA